GCCAGGCAUUGUGGUGGUCGCCUGUGGUCCCAGCUACUUGGGAGGCGGAGGCAGGAGACUCACUUGAGCCUAGGAGUUGGAGGUUGCUGUGAGCUGUGAUGCCACAGCACUCUACCUAGGAGGACAGCUUGAGGCUCUGUCUCAAAAAAAAAAAAGAUAAGAGUCUCACUUUAUCGUCCUUGGUAGAAUAGUGUGGUAUCACAGCUCACAGCAAUCUCCAGCUCUUGGGCUUAGGUGAUUCUCUUGCC
Molecule: small RNA, 248 nt
Filed under: Otolemur garnettii (small-eared galago)
Lineage: Eukaryota; Metazoa; Chordata; Mammalia; Primates; Galagidae
Description: Metazoan signal recognition particle RNA (ENSOGAG00000032881.1)
Source: RNAcentral